This 953-nucleotide ribosomal RNA is filed under the name Chinch bug-Cactus male plant phytoplasma. RNAcentral's name for it is "bacterial SSU rRNA". It matches the Rfam family "Bacterial small subunit ribosomal RNA", at positions 287 to 1249 of the family's 1533-position model. The record is from RNAcentral. Lineage: Bacteria; Bacillati; Mycoplasmatota; Mollicutes; Acholeplasmatales; Acholeplasmataceae.
CCGGGCUGAGAGGUUGAACGGCCACAUUGGGACUGAGACACGGCCCAAACUCCUACGGGAGGCAGCAGUAGGGAAUUUUCGGCAAUGGAGGAAACUCUGACCGAGCAACGCCGCGUGAACGAUGAAGUAUUUCGGUACGUAAAGUUCUUUUAUUAGGGAAGAAUAAAUGAUGGAAAAAUCAUUCUGACGGUACCUAAUGAAUAAGCCCCGGCUAACUAUGUGCCAGCAGCCGCGGUAAUACAUAGGGGGCAAGCGUUAUCCGGAAUUAUUGGGCGUAAAGGGUGCGUAGGCGGUUAAAUAAGUUUAUGGUCUAAGUGCAAUGCUCAACAUUGUGAUGCUAUAAAAACUGUUUAGCUAGAGUAAGAUAGAGGCAAGUGGAAUUCCAUGUGUAGUGGUAAAAUGCGUAAAUAUAUGGAGGAACACCAGUAGCGAAGGCGGCUUGCUGGGUCUUUACUGACGCUGAGGCACGAAAGCGUGGGGAGCAAACAGGAUUAGAUACCCUGGUAGUCCACGCCGUAAACGAUGAGUACUAAACGUUGGGUAAAACCAGUGUUGAAGUUAACACAUUAAGUACUCCGCCUGAGUAGUACGUACGCAAGUAUGAAACUUAAAGGAAUUGACGGGACUCCGCACAAGCGGUGGAUCAUGUUGUUUAAUUCGAAGGUACCCGAAAAACCUCACCAGGUCUUGACAUGCUUCUGCAAAGCUGUAGAAACACAGUGGAGGUUAUCAGUUGCACAGGUGGUGCAUGGUUGUCGUCAGCUCGUGUCGUGAGAUGUUGGGUUAAGUCCCGCAACGAGCGCAACCCUUAUUGUUAGUUACCAGCACGUAAUGGUGGGGACUUUAGCAAGACUGCCAGUGAUAAAUUGGAGGAAGGUGGGGACGACGUCAAAUCAUCAUGCCCCUUAUGACCUGGGCUACAAACGUGAUACAAUGGCUGUUACAAAGGGUAG